GUCGUUCUUGUUUCUAGGUGGCAGUUGGAGGGAAAAGCAAGUUCAAUUAGAAAGACCCAAUCGGCUUAAAAAUAUAUCUUUUUUUUAAAAAACCAACCGAUGACUUCAUGGUCAAGCUGUUUCCUGAAUGAAAGGUUUCUGCUCUCCUUCGGGCUCCUUUGCCCUUCACCGCACUUCUCAUUCCUGCCGGAAAGGGAGCCGACGUUCCAGGCUGCCAAUCACCUGCACCAGCUAACAUCUGCUCUACGGGACGAGUAAUUCUGCACUGCUGCGUAUUUGAUCACUUCCAACCCCAAUCAAGGAGAAGUUGAUGCGACCAUGCCGAGUUUCAGCUACAUACAUGACUUCCGUGAGGACUCACAAUCUGUUAUUCAGCCAUAAUAUGACAUACAAAUGUGACAAAAACAUUUAAUGACGAAAUAAUUAUGCUUUUAUAAUAACAGUGAUCUUUAAAUGGUAACAUCAGAGGUUGUUCUUUGCAAUACAUGCCCCAAGGAACAAGUGAAUUGGGCAAUUUCUUUGGGCCUCCAAACCAACAGGGGGCGCCCAACCGCACUGCAACUUUCCCACAAGUCUGGUUUACACAUCAUUUAUUUUAUUUUCUUUUUUCUUUUUUUGUGUGUGGGGUAAAUCUGUUGUAAUUUUGUAACACAAACCUUGUUAUCCUCUAUAUCAAAAAUUUAGAUCAGUGUAGUAUGAUGGUGAAGAAAAUAUUUUGUACUUAAAUGUUUAAAGGCAGCCCAGCUGUUUCAUACGGACUAACAACUUAAAUCAAUUUGAGUAUUGGGGAAAGCAUUUCGUCUUUGUUUUUUUUUCUUUAAGUUAAGUUAGAUUCUCCUACAUCAUGUCCACCAUCGUUUCAGACAGCAGAUAUUUCUAGCUCUAGAUGUCAAAACAAACGAAUACAAAGAUAUUCUGAUUUUU
Molecule: non-coding RNA, 924 nt
Organism: Poecilia reticulata (guppy)
Lineage: Eukaryota; Metazoa; Chordata; Actinopteri; Cyprinodontiformes; Poeciliidae
Source: RefSeq, a predicted model, not a curated record